GACGAACGCUGGCGGCGUGCUUAACACAUGCAAGUCGAACGGAAAGGCCCUGCUUUUGUGGGGUGCUCGAGUGGCGAACGGGUGAGUAACACGUGAGUAACCUGCCCUUGACUUUGGGAUAACUUCAGGAAACUGGGGCUAAUACCGGAUAGGAGCUCCUGCUGCAUGGUGGGGGUUGGAAAGUUUCGGCGGUUGGGGAUGGACUCGCGGCUUAUCAGCUUGUUGGUGGGGUAGUGGCUUACCAAGGCUUUGACGGGUAGCCGGCCUGAGAGGGUGACCGGCGACAUUGCGACUGCGAGACGGCCCAGACUGCUACGGUGGGCAGCGGUGGGGAAUAUUGCACAAUGGGCGGAAGCCUGAUGCGGAAACGCCGCGUGCGGGAUGACGGCCUUCGGGUUGUAAACCGCUUUCGCCUGUGACGAAGCGUGAGUGACGGUAAUGGGUAAAGAAGCACCGGCUAACUACGUG
RNAcentral lists this ribosomal RNA (468 nucleotides) under uncultured bacterium. Its description in RNAcentral is "partial 16S ribosomal RNA". It matches the Rfam family "Bacterial small subunit ribosomal RNA", at positions 28 to 507 of the family's 1533-position model. The record is from RNAcentral.